RNAcentral lists this long non-coding RNA (317 nucleotides) under Brassica napus (rape). RNAcentral's name for it is "long non-coding RNA (BNAP_LNC002197)". Lineage: Eukaryota; Viridiplantae; Streptophyta; Magnoliopsida; Brassicales; Brassicaceae. The record is from RNAcentral.
UGCUAAGCUAGGAUAUUGCAUAGUGUGCUUCUGUGAUUAGGACCUUUUAAAUGUGGUUGCAAAAUUGUUGAGGAAAAAAUUUCUAUGCUUUAAAAUCUUAAGUCCCUAAUAUUUUCAAACCUCUUUUCGAGAGACUGCCUCUAUGUUUUGCUUGAGGACAAGCAAAAGGGUAAGUCUGGGGGAGUUGAUAUACCUUGGAUUUGACCCGUUUUCAUCCAUGGUAUAUAAGUGUUUUUACUAUAUUAUAUCUAUGUCUUCUACUCUUCUAUGUAUGUUUUCAGGUUCAGGUGCAUUUCGGAGUAAAGCUAUGACUUUGG